This 229-nucleotide ribosomal RNA is filed under the name uncultured bacterium. RNAcentral describes it as "partial 16S ribosomal RNA". It matches the Rfam family "Bacterial small subunit ribosomal RNA", at positions 568 to 796 of the family's 1533-position model. The record is from RNAcentral.
UGCGCAGGCGGGUUAUUAAGUCAGUGGUGAAAUCUCUCGGCUCAACCGAGAAACUGCUAUUGAAACUGAUAAUCUUGAGUAUAGUUGUAGUAGGCGGAAUAUAGCAUGUAGCGGUGAAAUGCUUAGAUAUGCUAUAGAACACCGAUCGCGAAGGCAGCUUACUAAACUAUUACUGACGCUCAUGCACGAAAGCGUGGGGAGCAAACAGGAUUAGAUACCCUGGUAGUCC